This 87-nucleotide non-coding RNA is filed under the name chicken gut metagenome. RNAcentral's name for it is "Glycine riboswitch". The stretch from base 4 to 81 matches the Rfam family "Glycine riboswitch aptamer", at positions 9 to 86 of the family's 94-position model. From Rfam's summary of the family: This family represents the bacterial glycine riboswitch. Glycine riboswitches usually consist of two metabolite-binding aptamers domains with similar structures in tandem. The record is from RNAcentral.
UGGCUCUGGAGAACGCCCAAAAGUGGGCUGCCGAAGGUGCAACGCAGGACUCUGCGAAAUCUCUCAGGCAAAAGGACAGAGUGGGAA